RNAcentral lists this ribosomal RNA (490 nucleotides) under uncultured bacterium. RNAcentral describes it as "bacterial SSU rRNA". It matches the Rfam family "Bacterial small subunit ribosomal RNA", at positions 28 to 507 of the family's 1533-position model. The record is from RNAcentral.
GAUGAACGCUAGCGGCAGGCUUAAUACAUGCAAGUCGAGGGGCAGCAUGUCCCGUAGCAAUACGGGAUGAUGGCGACCGGCAAACGGGUGCGGAACACGUACAGAACCUUCCUUUAAGCGGGGAAUAGCCCAGAGAAAUUUGGAUUAAUACCCCAUAGUAUAUUGAAAAGGCAUCUUUUUAAUAUUAAAGAUUUAUCACUUGAAGAUGGCUGUGCGGCUGAUUAGGUAGUUGGCGGGGUAACGGCCCCCCAAGCCUGCGAUCAGUAACUGGUGUGAGAGCCCGACCAGUCACACGGGCACUGAGACACGGGCCCGACUCCUACGGGAGGCAGCAGUAAGGAAUAUUGGUCAAUGGACGCAAGUUUGAACCAGCCAUGCCGCGUGGAGGAUGAAGGUCCUUUGGAUUGUAAACUUUUUUUAUAUGGGACGAAAAAGGGUCUUUUUAGAUCAACUGACGGUACCAUAUGAAUAAGCACCGGCUAACUCCGUG